RNAcentral lists this ribosomal RNA (328 nucleotides) under uncultured Lewinella sp. Its description in RNAcentral is "bacterial SSU rRNA". It matches the Rfam family "Bacterial small subunit ribosomal RNA", at positions 568 to 898 of the family's 1533-position model. Lineage: Bacteria; Pseudomonadati; Bacteroidota; Saprospiria; Saprospirales; Lewinellaceae. The record is from RNAcentral.
UGCGUAGGUGGCAUCGUAAGUCAGAAGUGAAAGUUUGCGGCUUAACCGUAAAAUUGCUUUUGAUACUGCAAUGCUUGAAUCAGGUUGAGGUUGGCGGAAUGUGGCAUGUAGCGGUGAAAUGCUUAGAUAUGCCAUAGAACACCGAUUGCGAAGGCAGCUGACUGGACCUGUAUUGACGCUGAGGCACGAAAGCGUGGGGAGCGAACAGGAUUAGAUACCCUGGUAGUCCACGCCCUAAACGAUGCUCACUCGAUGUGUGGCCUUCGGGUCGCGCAUCCAAGCGAAAGCGUUAAGUGAGCCACCUGGGGAGUACGUUCGCAAGAAUGAA